GACGAACGCUGGCGGCGUGCUUAACACAUGCAAGUCGAACGGGAAGGUCCUGCCUUUGUGGGGUGCUCGAGUGGCGAACGGGUGAGCAACACGUGAGUAACCUGUCCCUGACUGUGGGAUAACUUCAGGAAACUGGGGCUAAUACCGGCUAGGAGCUCCUGCUGCAUGGUGGGGGUUGGUAAGUUUCGGCGGUUGGGGAUGGACUCGCGGCUUAUCAGCUUGUUGGGGGGGUAGUGGCUUACCAUGGCUUUGACCGGUAGCCGGCCUGAGAGGGUGACCGGCCACGUUGGACCUGAAAUGCGGCCCGGCCUCCAACGGGACGGGGCGGAGGAGAGUGGUGCACAAGAGGCUGGACCCUGGUGCAGCCACGCCGCGUGCGGGGUGACAGCCUUCGGGUUGUAAACCGAUUUCGCCUGUGACGAGGCGUGAGUGACGGUAAUGGGUAAAGAAGCACCGGCUAACUACGUG
This 468-nucleotide ribosomal RNA is filed under the name uncultured bacterium. RNAcentral describes it as "partial 16S ribosomal RNA". It matches the Rfam family "Bacterial small subunit ribosomal RNA", at positions 28 to 507 of the family's 1533-position model. The record is from RNAcentral.